This 312-nucleotide ribosomal RNA is filed under the name uncultured bacterium. Its description in RNAcentral is "bacterial SSU rRNA". It matches the Rfam family "Bacterial small subunit ribosomal RNA", at positions 1085 to 1398 of the family's 1533-position model. The record is from RNAcentral.
UCCCGCAACGAGCGCAACCCUUAUCCUUUGUUGCCAGCGGUCCGGCCGGGAACUCAAAGGAGACUGGCAGUGAUAAACUGGAGGAAGGUGGGGAUGACGUCAAGUCAUCAUGGCCCUUACGACCAGGGCUACACACGUGCUACAAUGGCGCAUACAAAGAGAAGCGACCUCGCGAGAGCAAGCGGACCUCAUAAAGUGCGUCGUAGUCCGGAUUGGAGUCUGCAACUCGACUCCAUGAAGUCGGAAUCGCUAGUAAUCGUGGAUCAGAAUGCCACGGUGAAUACGUUCCCGGGCCUUGUAACACCGCCCGUA